Long non-coding RNA from Homo sapiens (human), 1362 nucleotides. The record is from Ensembl. NCBI's taxonomy places the organism in Eukaryota, Metazoa, Chordata, Mammalia, Primates, Hominidae.
GCCCAUCCCAAGAUGGCGGAGAUCCCCCUGUACUUUGUGGACUUGCAGGAUGACUUAGACGACUGUAAAUGGAUUUGAAGACUAUGGUACAGAUUGCGACAACAUGAGAGUAACGGCCUUCUUGGACAUUCCAGGCCAGGAUAACCUGCCUCCACUCACUCGCCUGGAGAAGUAUGCUUUCAGCGAGAACACCUUCAACCGGCAGAUUAUUGCCAGAGGGCUGCUUGAUAUCUUCCGGGACUUCGGUAACAAUGAAGAAGACUUCCUCACGGUAAUGGAGAUUGUAGUCAGAUUGUCAGAAGAUGCAGAGCCCACAGUGCGGACUGAGCUGAUGGAACAGAUUCCUCCUAUUGCCAUUUUUUUACAAGAAAACAGAUCAAAUUUUCCAGUGGUGCUCUCUGAAUAUCUCAUACCUAUUGUAGUGAGGUACCUCACAGAUCCAAACAAUCAGAUAAUCUGCAAAAUGGCUUCAAUGCUGAGUAAGAGUACCGUUGAACGCCUGCUACUCCCCCGAUUCUGUGAACUGUGUGGUGACAGGAAGCUCUUUCAAGUUCGGAAGGUUUGUGCUGCAAAUUUUGGUGAUAUUUGUCAUGCUGUUGGACAAGAAGCCACUGAGAAAUUUUUGAUCCCAAAGUUCUUUGAGCUCUGCUCUGAUGCUGUUUGGGGCAUGCGGAAAGCCUGUGCAGAAUGCUUCACGGCUGUGUCGCACAGCUCCUCCCCUGGGGUCCGCAGAACCCAGCUCUUCCCGCUCUUCAUCAGACUUGUCAGCGACCCCUGCCGAUGGGUGCACCAGGCUGCCUUCCAGUCCCUCGGCCCCUUCACUUCCACCUUUGCAAACCCCUCCAGGGCUGGCCUUUAUCUUCGAGAGGAUGGCGCCCUGAGCAUCUGGCCACUCACCCAGGAUUUGGACUCUGGUUUUGCCUCUGGCUCCCCUGCUCCCAGCAGUGGUGGUAACACUUCCCCUGCCAGGUAUGCUCUGGCUAGGGUCACCACCAGGACCCUCGAUGUACCUUAAGCACCCACCUAAAAUUUCAGCAAUUAUCUUGUCUCGAGUUUUAGUAGUGACCUUCUGGGCAAGAUGGAAUAUUAGAGCUUUAAUUAUGUAAAGAAGCAAAAAGUAAUUGCAAUAAUGAUUUUGAAACAUGACUACUGGGUUAUAAAUAAUGAAGCUACUAUGUCUCCUAAAUUUAGAUAAAAUAUUCAUUGAGAUUAGUGAUUAAAUAACCUAUAAAGAACAUUUUCUCUUACUUUUUGAUGAAUGAAGUUCUCUGGGUAAUUUACUUAGGGAAAAAUGUGAAGUCUCCCAAAUGUACUUUUUUGGAGGUUGGGUUACAUGUACAUAAAGGCGACACUCCUGACCAA